GAUGAACGCUGGCGGCGUGCCUAAUACAUGCAAGUCGAGCGAACAGACGAGGAGCUUGCUCCUCUGACGUUAGCGGCGGACGGGUGAGUAACACGUGGAUAACCUACCUAUAAGACUGGGAUAACUUCGGGAAACCGGAGCUAAUACCGGAUAAUAUAUUGAACCGCAUGGUUCAAUAGUGAAAGACGGUUUUGCUGUCACUUAUAGAUGGAUCCGCGCCGCAUUAGCUAGUUGGUAAGGUAACGGCUUACCAAGGCAACGAUGCGUAGCCGACCUGAGAGGGUGAUCGGCCACACUGGAACUGAGACACGGUCCAGACUCCGACGGGAGGCAGCAGUAGGGAAUCUUCCGCAGUGGGCGAAAGCCUGACGGAGCAACGCCGCGUGAGUGAUGAAGGUCUUCGGAUCGUAAAACUCUGUUAUUAGGGAAGAACAAAUGUGUAAGUAACUAUGCACGUCUUGACGGUACCUAAUCAGAAAGCCACGGCUAACUACGU
Molecule: ribosomal RNA, 496 nt
Filed under: uncultured bacterium
Lineage: Bacteria
Description: partial 16S ribosomal RNA
Rfam family: Bacterial small subunit ribosomal RNA
Source: RNAcentral